RNAcentral lists this ribosomal RNA (456 nucleotides) under uncultured Rhodocyclaceae bacterium. Its description in RNAcentral is "bacterial SSU rRNA". It matches the Rfam family "Bacterial small subunit ribosomal RNA", at positions 923 to 1382 of the family's 1533-position model. The record is from RNAcentral. Lineage: Bacteria; Pseudomonadati; Pseudomonadota; Betaproteobacteria; Rhodocyclales; Rhodocyclaceae.
GCACAAGCGGUGGAUGAUGUGAUUAAUCGAUGCAACGCGAAAACCUUACCUACCUUGACAUGUCCGGAAUCCCGAAGAGAUUUGGGAGUGCUCGCAAGAGAACCGGAACACAGGUGCUGCAUGGCUGUCGUCAGCUCGUGUCGUGAGAUGUUGGGUUAAGUCCCGCAACGAGCGCAACCCUUGUCAUUAGUUGCCAUCAUUUGGUUGGGCACUCUAAUGAGACUGCCGGUGACAAACCGGAGGAAGGUGGGGAUGACGUCAAGUCCUCAUGGCCCUUAUGGGUAGGGCUUCACACGUCAUACAAUGGUCGGUACAGAGGGUUGCCAACCCGCGAGGGGGAGCUAAUCCCACAAAGCCGAUCGUAGUCCGGAUCGCAGUCUGCAACUCGACUGCGUGAAGUCGGAAUCGCUAGUAAUCGUGGAUCAGCAUGUCACGGUGAAUACGUUCCCGGGUCUU